AGCGCAGGUGGUUGUAUAAGUCUGAAGUAAAAAGGCAGUGGCUCAACCAUUGUGUGCUUUGGAAACUGUACAACUUGAGUGCAGUAGAGGAAAGUGGAACUCCAUGUGUAGCGGUGAAAUGCGUAGAUAUAUGGAAGAACACCAGUGGCGAAGGCGGCUUUCUGGACUGUAACUGACGUUGAGGCUCGAAAGUGUGGUAGCAAACA
This 206-nucleotide ribosomal RNA is filed under the name uncultured bacterium. RNAcentral describes it as "partial 16S ribosomal RNA". It matches the Rfam family "Bacterial small subunit ribosomal RNA", at positions 568 to 774 of the family's 1533-position model. The record is from RNAcentral.